UGGGACCAAACCGAAUGUGUAUUGAAAUAUCCCUCGGCCAUAGAAGAGUGGUGGAGAGAAUGUUGCAAUGUCCUUCACUUUAGUCUGAAUCUUCCUAAGUACCAACGUAUAGUUCCCUGGUCUGGCCUCCAGUGCUUCAGAAGCACCGCCAACCACCACAACACAUGAAUGACCAGGGCCCAUUUUUGUCAAUAUGUGUUUCAAACUUUCUCUUGAUGCUGGACAUAUACCCAUGGCCAACAAAAAUUCACGAAGAAAUGGAAUCUUAAACUGGAUGUUCAGGGUUAUUAGAUGCACAGUAAGACCCGGAAAAAGUUUUGAAAAUCCAGUUGCUUCCGAGGCGAAAUUCCCCGAUGAUCCAACAGCCAUAACGCCAUGAGGAUGGCAGCCAAAGAGGUAAUUCUUUGAUUCAUCUAGCUCAUGCGUUUUUAUUAAACGUAAUGGAAAGUAUUCGGCGUAAUAAUUCCAUACUUUUAACCGCCUCAUAGCGGGAAAAUAUCGGCCCCCUCUGUGAGGUGUAUCCUUGUCAAUAAUGUAAAUCCAAGCUAGAUACAACAGCAAAAAUAUUCUCGUGAAGAGAUUAAUGUACAAUAGGAAAAGACAAACUAGUACACAAAAUAUAUGACCAAAUAUAAAUGUAGAGCCAACAAUCCAAACAAGAAAAGUUUGUCGACGUCUUUUUACAGGUAUUUUAAGCGGUGCCCACUCGAUUCCAAAAGCUUUCGCCAUGGUGGAAGUUUUGCAAGACUAGCAAGUAUUUGUUGAAUGAAAACAACUUAACAAAAUGGAAGCAGUUCAAGGUCCAAAGUGUCAAACAUUCACAUGUAAUUACAGGAAGUCACAAGACUGCAUCAAGAGUCCAAGACUCAAAAAUGAGGCUGUUACAUUUCAUUUGUUGCAAAAUCAUCGUACGACAUGGCUACAUCUUACAACUUUUUCCUUAAUACACAUAUUAGCUUUCUAAAGACAGUCGAACAGCAUAGAGGAGGGCUGACCCUAAGAAGGAAAGAUAGUCCAAAUUUCUCAGGGCAGGCACAUGUAGAAAACGCCAUAUACCAAGCAAAAACAGAAAAUUAUCAAGUUACAGAUUACGGAACACGUGAUUACAUUAUGACGUAACUAUUCUUUGGUUUCUCACAAAACAAAAUUAAAUCCAAAUGUUUUUUUAAUAUUUAUUACACAAA
Molecule: long non-coding RNA, 1184 nt
Organism: Xenia sp. Carnegie-2017
Lineage: Eukaryota; Metazoa; Cnidaria; Anthozoa; Malacalcyonacea; Xeniidae
Exons: 4
Source: RefSeq, a predicted model, not a curated record